Molecule: small nuclear RNA, 190 nt
Organism: Pipistrellus kuhlii (Kuhl's pipistrelle)
Lineage: Eukaryota; Metazoa; Chordata; Mammalia; Chiroptera; Vespertilionidae
Product: U2 spliceosomal RNA
Exons: 1
Source: RefSeq, a predicted model, not a curated record
AUCGCUUCUCGGCCUUUUGGCUAAGAUCAAGUGUAGUAUCUAACGAUCUCUCUCCCUUCCUCUCUGUAAAAAAUCAAUAAAAUAUAUAUAUUUUUUAAAAUAAUAAAAAAAAUAAAAAUAAAGCACCUUGUGCAUUCCUCUAGCUCAGUGUUCAUCAGGCUGCAGUAUCUCUGAUUGACUGGGUAUAGAA